This 184-nucleotide ribosomal RNA is filed under the name Myotis sodalis (Indiana bat). RNAcentral describes it as "partial 16S ribosomal RNA". The record is from RNAcentral. Lineage: Eukaryota; Metazoa; Chordata; Mammalia; Chiroptera; Vespertilionidae.
AGAAGCAAUAAUGUUAAUAUGAGUAACAAGAAAAUUUUCUCCCUGCAUGAGUGUAUAUCAGAACGAAUGAUGCACUGGUAGUUAACAAAUACAGACAUAACUAGCUAACUAAAAUCUUAAUACAACUGUUAGUCCAACACAGGCAUGCACCAAGGAAGAUUAAAAGAAGUAAAAGGAACUCGGC